AGAGUUUGAUCCUGGCUCAGGACGAACGCUGGCGGCGUGCCUAACACAUGCAAGUCGAACGAAGCUUGAUGAUGGAUUUCUUCGGAAUGAAAUCUGAAAUGACUGAGUGGCGGACGGGUGAGUAACGCGUGAGUAAACCUGCCCUUAGGAAAGGAUAGCGUCUGGAAACGGACGGUAAUACCAUAUAAAGUAUAUUAACGGCAUCGUAGAUAUACAAAGCUGAGGCGCCUAAGGAUGGACUCGCGUCUGAUUAGAUAGUUGUGGGGUAACGGCCUACCAAGUCGACGAUCAGUAGCCGGACUGAGAGGUUGAACGGCCACAUUGGGACUGAGACACGGCCCAGACUCCUACGGGAGGCAGCAGUGGGAAUAUUGCACAAUGGGCGAAAGCCUGAUGCAGCAACGCCGCGUGAAGGAAGACGGUUUUCGGAUUGUAAACUUCUGUUCUUAGUGAAGAAUAAUGACGUAACUAAGGAGCAAGCCACGGCUAACUACGUGCCAGCAGCCGCGGUAAUACGUAGGUGGCAAGCUUGUCCGGAAUUACUGGGUGUAAAGAGAGCGUAGGCGGGAAGCCAGUCAGCUGUGAAAACUACGGCUUAACCUGUAGACUGCAGUUGAAACUGGCUUUCUUGAGUGAAGUAGAGGUUGGCGGAAUUCCGAGUGUAGCGGUGAAAUGCGUAGAUAUUCGGAGGAACACGGUGGCGAAGGCGGCAACUGGGCUUUAACUGACGCUGAGCUCGAAAGUGUGGGGAGCAAACAGGAUUAGAUACCCUGGUAGUCCACACUGUAAACGAUGAUAACUAGGUGUGGGGGUCUGACCCCUUCCGUGCGCAGCUAACGCAAUAAGUUAUCCACCUGGGAGUACGACCGCAAGGUUGAAACUCAAAGGAAUUGACGGGGACCGCACAAGCAGUGGAUUAUGUGGUUUAAUUCGAAGCAACGCGAAGAACCUUACCAGCACUUGACAUCCGACUAACGAAGUAGAGAUACAUUAGGUGCCCUUCGGGGAAAGUCGAGACAGGGUGGCAUGGUUGUCGUCAGCUCGUGUCGUGAGAUGUUGGGUUAAGUCCCGCAACGAGCGCAACCCUGCCAUUAGUUGCUACGCAAGAGCACUCUAAUGGGACCGCUACCGACAAGGUGGAGGAAGGUGGGGACGACGUCAAAUCAUCAUGCCCUUAUGUGCUGGGCUACACACGUAAUACAAUGGCCAUCAACAGAGAGAAGCAAUACCGCGAGGUGGAGCAAAACUUCAAAAAUGGUCUCAGUUCGGACUGUAGGCUGCAACUCGCCUACACGAAGUUGGAAUUGCUAGUAAUCGUGGAUCAGCAUGCCACGGUGAAUACGUUCCCGGUCUUGUACACACCGCCGUCACACCAUGGAGCCGGUAACACCCGAAGUCAGUAGUCUAACCGCAAGGAGGACGCUGCCGAAGGUGGGAUUGGCGACUGGGGUGAAGUCGUAACAAGGUAGCCGUAUCGGAAGGUGCGGCUG
This 1490-nucleotide ribosomal RNA is filed under the name gut metagenome. RNAcentral describes it as "bacterial SSU rRNA". It matches the Rfam family "Bacterial small subunit ribosomal RNA". The record is from RNAcentral.